AGUGAACGCUGGCGGUAGGCCUAACACAUGCAAGUCGAACGGCAGCACAGGAGAGCUUGCUCUCUGGGUGGCGAGUGGCGGACGGGUGAGGAAUACAUCGGAAUCUACUCUGUCGUGGGGGAUAACGUAGGGAAACUUACGCUAAUACCGCAUACGACCUACGGGUGAAAGCAGGGGACCUUCGGGCCUUGCGCGAUUGAAUGAGCCGAUGUCGGAUUAGCUAGUUGGCGGGGUAAAGGCCCACCAAGGCGACGAUCCGCAGCUGGUCUGAGAGGAUGAGCAGCAGACCUGGAACACAGACACGGUGCAGACUCCUACGGGAGGCAGCAGGGGGGAAUAUUGGACGAUGGGCGCAAGCCUGAUCCAGCCAUACCGCGUGGGUGAAGAAGGCCUUCGGGUUGUAAAGCCCUUUUGUUGGGAAAGGAAUCCAGCUGGCUAAUACCCGGUUGGGAUGACGGUACCCAAAGAAUAAGCACCGGCUAACUUCGUGCCAGCCGCCGCAGUAA
RNAcentral lists this ribosomal RNA (506 nucleotides) under uncultured bacterium. RNAcentral's name for it is "partial 16S ribosomal RNA". It matches the Rfam family "Bacterial small subunit ribosomal RNA", at positions 29 to 523 of the family's 1533-position model. The record is from RNAcentral.